UGGCAGAACUGUUGCUACCCACCGCCCAACGCACACAACAAAAUCCCACCCCGGCCCCUCGGGACACACCGACGCCUCCCCCGGCCCCGCUCCGUUCACCGCCGCCUCGAGGCCCUCGGCCCCGGGGGGCCCUUCCCGCGCCCACCCCGCGCUGAGGGGCGAGGCCGAGUGGAAGGGAAGGGGCCAUGGCGGACAUCUCGUCGCCUUUCCGAGCGCACCCACGAUCUCGGACUGACCUGGGGAGAACGGGAGGAGCGCAGGAGGGGUCCCGGCACCCGUCUGCAGCCGCCUCUGCCUGGGUUUGACACCCACACGCACCAUCCAACAUGGCGGCGGCCGGGGGGAGGCGGCGGACGAGGAGGCGGAACCGGCGGCCGCGCGCGUCCCCGAGGCGCGGCACCGGGCCGGGCGCGGCGGGGACAGAGAGGGGGGUGGGAGACGGGAGAACGAGCGGCUGCGGGCGGCCUGGGGUGCCCUGAUGUGCCCUGCUGUGCCCACAGAGCCCAGUGCUCGUUCCUCAGCCCCUUCUCCUCACGGCCAGGCCCGCCGCUUGCUGCCAGCGGCACGAAGGCCUCAGCGCCCCGUGUCCUCAGGGCCCCACACUCCCCUCCUCCUCAGGAGGAUCCAGGCCUUGAGAAGCAUCCACCACCCAACCCAUCAGACAUCCAGCCCACAUAUCACAUCCAGCACCCACCAUCAGCAUCCAGUCCAUCCACAUCACAUCCAGCGCAUCCACCAUCACAUCCAUGCCACCCACCUUCACAUCCAGCGCACCCACCAUCACAUCCGCCACCUCCAUCACAUCCAGCCACCCACCAUCACAUCCAGCCAUCCACCAUCACAUCCAGCCACCCACCAUCACAUCCAGCCAUCCACCUUCACCACUCUCACCCUCUUCCUUGUGUCAAACUUAGCAAUGUAACAAGAAAUAUAUAUGUUUUACACAGUUUUAGUAUUCAGGGAUGCCCCAGGGUGAUGAUGAGGGGCUGCAGUGAGACCCCCAUGAUCAGUGCAUUCCCUUCCUCAGGAGAUGAUCACCAUCACAUCCAGCCAUCCGCAUUCACCACUCUUAUCCUCCUCCUUAUUAUAUUAGGCAAUAUAAGCUGUACUGAGAGCCUUGUGGUCACGCUGAGGGGAGUUAGAUGCAGAAAUGACUGCAGAAACAGGAGCCAGGCAGCUCGUGGCCUUCCCUUGUUGGGGACACAGAGCCCGGGAUCACGAGUUGAAGGAGGUCAGUGGUCUCCUCGUGGUUCUCUGAGUGUUUGUUCCUAUCUUAAAGCCGUGGGACAAUUUGAGGAAAUGGGACGUGGCCGUUCUGGAGACAGCAAAGGUCAGCAGAGGCCAGGAAGGACACAUUACAGCUGGCUCCAGGUAGCACUGCUGCUCAUUUAA
Molecule: long non-coding RNA, 1392 nt
Filed under: Coturnix japonica (Japanese quail)
Lineage: Eukaryota; Metazoa; Chordata; Aves; Galliformes; Phasianidae
Description: lncRNA (ENSCJPG00005004227.1)
Source: RNAcentral